RNAcentral lists this transfer RNA (72 nucleotides) under Podospora anserina S mat+. RNAcentral describes it as "tRNA-Arg (CCT) (tRNA-Arg-CCT-1-1)". It matches the Rfam family "tRNA". From Rfam's summary of the family: Transfer RNA (tRNA) molecules are approximately 80 nucleotides in length. Their secondary structure includes four short double-helical elements and three loops (D, anti-codon, and T loops). Lineage: Eukaryota; Fungi; Ascomycota; Sordariomycetes; Sordariales; Podosporaceae. The record is from RNAcentral.
GGCCGUCUAGCGCAAUGGUAGCGCGUAGCCCUCCUAAGGCUAAGGUUGUGGGUUCGAGUCCCAUGAUGGUCG